RNAcentral lists this long non-coding RNA (799 nucleotides) under Homo sapiens (human). RNAcentral describes it as "HSALNT0147800". The record is from RNAcentral. Lineage: Eukaryota; Metazoa; Chordata; Mammalia; Primates; Hominidae.
AAGGGAUUAAUAUUUGCUUUGUUUUACUGGGGAUAUCUAUCUAUCUGGUAUCUAUCUAUCCAGCUAUGUAUCUGUCUAUGUAUCUAUCUACCUAUCUAUCAUCUAUCUAUCAAUCAUUGAUAACAGUGCUAGAUAUCAAUUGAUUAUCUCUCACCUCUAAAUCUACUGCUGUUUACCCUGUUUUGUGAUUUUGGGGCUGGGCCCUAUGACAUUUCACAUUUGAGAGUUGGUUCAGUCUUAGGUUUUGUUGCGAGAGAGCCUAGAGAGACACUGCAGACAUAGCAACAACAACAAAAACAACAACAACAAAAAUAAAGAGGCUUUUAUUGUGUGCUUUUCUCUUUCUCCUUCAGCUGCACAUCUGGCAGUGGUGAGUGGCCCUCAGUCUCCACUGAGGGACACUGAGUGUCUCCAGCAUCUCAAUAGGAAGCUUCCUGCAGACCAACUAUAAUCUAUUGGCACCCAAGUGGGGAGUUUCUAUGGGCCAGCUUCAACCCAUGACACCCUAGUAAAAGUCACCAACAUCCGAACAUGUGACCUCCUGCAGACCAGCUCUGGCCCACAGGACCCAGUGAAGUUCUCUGCUCUUCAGCAGGUAGCAGUUGUGCCCUCUCCAGUGGGGUCAAAAAUCUCAGCCAUUGGUAUGAGCUGGUGCUUUUCAAACUUUUAGCUCCUUCUCUGGGUAUUCUUUUUUACCUUAGGAGUAUAACUGCCCCCAACAUUUGCUGUGAGUACUUUUUAGUCUACUUAGUAGUCAAUCACAUUUUACCAGUUAAGAACUUUUUCUAUAAAGUUUUCC